AAAUUGAAGAGUUUGAUCAUGGCUCAGAUUGAACGCUGGCGGCAGGCCUAACACAUGCAAGUCGAACGGUAACAGGAAACAGCUUGCUGUUUCGCUGACGAGUGGCGGACGGGUGAGUAAUGUCUGGGAAACUGCCUGAUGGAGGGGGAUAACUACUGGAAACGGUAGCUAAUACCGCAUAACGUCGCAAGACCAAAGAGGGGGACCUUCGGGCCUCUUGCCAUCGGAUGUGCCCAGAUGGGAUUAGCUAGUAGGUGGGGUAACGGCUCACCUAGGCGACGAUCCCUAGCUGGUCUGAGAGGA
RNAcentral lists this ribosomal RNA (303 nucleotides) under Escherichia coli. RNAcentral's name for it is "partial 16S ribosomal RNA". It matches the Rfam family "Bacterial small subunit ribosomal RNA", at positions 1 to 300 of the family's 1533-position model. Lineage: Bacteria; Pseudomonadati; Pseudomonadota; Gammaproteobacteria; Enterobacterales; Enterobacteriaceae. The record is from RNAcentral.